This is a long non-coding RNA of Meleagris gallopavo (turkey), 1812 nucleotides long. Lineage: Eukaryota; Metazoa; Chordata; Aves; Galliformes; Phasianidae. The record is from Ensembl.
AUGACGGAGCGCUGGCGCAGGCUGCCCAGGGAGGCUGUGGAUUCUCCUUGUCUGGAGAUAUUCCACACCCUCCUGGACGCCCACCUGUGCAGCCUGCUGUCGGGAGCCCGUUUUGCAGGGGGAUUAGACCCAGUGAUCUCUGGUGGUCCCUUGCAACCCCAGUUCUGUGAUUCUGUGAUUUUAUUUGUUGCUUCUUGCAGCAGUACAGUGUUUCAGAAGAGAGAAAAGCAUGGUGGGCAUCAACUGGAUUUCUGUGCUUGGUUGAGCUUGUCUAAGGGUGGUGAUUGCUGGGUGAGCUUCUGCUUUAAAGCAUCAGGUUGUACAAAGAAGGAACUGUACUGCGUUCAGUUCUGGGUCCCUCACUGCACGAAGGACACUGAAACCCUGACAUGUGUCCAGAGAGGAGCAGGGAAGCUGUGGGGGUCCAGAGCACCAGUCUUACGGGGAGCGGCUGAGGGAACUGGGAUUAUUUAGCCUGGAGAAGAGGAGGCUCAGGGAAGGCCUUCUCACACUCUGCAGUUGGCUGCAGAGAGGUGAUGUCGAGGUGGGGUCGUCCUCUUCUCCCGUGUAAGCAGUGAUAGACUGGAGGGAAGGCCUCAAGUGGCACGAGGGGAGAUUCAGGUCGGAUGUGAAGAAAAACGUCUCCACAGGAGCGGUCAGACACUGGAACGGGCUGCCCAGGGAGGUGACAUUGUUACUGUCCCUGCAGGUGUUCAAGGAGCAUUGGGUGUUGUACCGAGCGACGCGGCUCAGCGGGAAAUGGUGGUGGUAGGUGGGUGGUUGGACUGGAUGAUCUUGGAGAUCUUUUCCAGCCUUGCUAAUUCUACGGUUCUAUGAAAGGCAUGUGCUGGGCGAGUGCUUUGCUGGGUGAGCAGGCAGCUGCUGCCACAUCCACGGGGAUGGGAGGCUUUUUAACCUGAGCCUUGUCUUUGGUGUCUGGUGCCCAGUAAGUCGUGUUGUUUUAAAGCAGCGUCUCGAUUUCUGCAGCCACCAGAGCUCUCCCUCAUGCUCUUCCCUGUGACGUGAGACCGCGUCGAAGGCCUUGCAGACGUCUGGGUAGGUGAAGUCAGUUGCUGUUUCUUUCCCCACCAAUGCUGGAAAAGGCGUAUUUCAUUACGUAUUUCCUUUUCACUGACCUUUCAUGCUGCUUCUUGAAGAGUUACCUUUGGAUGCUAAAUUAACAUUCUACGUUAAUAUAUUAAUAUAACCUCAGUUUUCCCUCCUCCUUUCCUUUAGCUCCUCUUUAGAUAUCGAAAGGCUGUUACCAGGUCACCUCGGAGCCUUCGCUCCUCCACGCUGAACAGCCCCAGCUCUCUCAGCCUGUCCUUGGAGGAGAGGGGUUUGAUCCUUUGGUUCUUUGAUUUUUGGGACCGUCCUCUGGAUGUGCUCCAACGGGUCCGUGUCCCUUCUGCCCUGAGGACUCUUCGUAUGGACACAGCGCUCCAGGUGAGGCCUCUUCAGCACAGGGCAGAGGGGCAGGAUCACCUCUCCUCACCUGCUGACCGGAGCCUGUCUGGGUCCCUCUGGCUGGCGUCCCGUCCCUCUGCUGUGUCGCCGCUCCCCACAGCUCGGUGUCGUCAGCAAAUUCUCUGAGGGUGCGCCCGACCCGCCGGUGCUGUCACUGAUGCAGAUAUUGAAGAGUCUCAGCCCCAGCUCGGUGCUCUUUCCCAGCACAGAGGUGAGACUGUGAUGUUGGUAGCGGCCAGGAUCGUUCUUUCUUCCCUUGUCAAAAAUGGCUGUGAUGCUGCCUUUUUUCCAUUCACCAGGGACUUCACCUGAUUGCCAUGACUUCUCAAAUACCGCUGAGAGUGG